AAUCAACGCUGGCGGCGUGCCUCAGACAUGCAAGUCGAACGCGAAAGUCCCCUUCGGGGGGACAAGUAGAGUGGCGCACGGGUGAGUAACACGUAGGUAAUCUACCUUUGGAUGGGGAAUAACAACCGGAAACGGUUGCUAAUACCGCAUAAUGCAGCGGCACCUAAUGGUGACAGUUGUUAAAGCGGGGGAUCGAAAGACCUCGCGUCUGAAGAGGAGCCUGCGGCGGAUUAGCUAGNGGUAAGGUAAUGGCUUACCAAGGCUACGAUCCGUAACCGGCCUGAGAGGGCGGUCGGUCACACUGACACUGACAUACGGGUCAGACUCCUACGGGAGGCAGCAGUCGGGAAUUUUGGGCAAUGGGCGAAAGCCU
RNAcentral lists this ribosomal RNA (373 nucleotides) under uncultured bacterium. RNAcentral's name for it is "bacterial SSU rRNA". It matches the Rfam family "Bacterial small subunit ribosomal RNA", at positions 32 to 384 of the family's 1533-position model. The record is from RNAcentral.